AGAGUUAGCUAAGACAGUCGCUCUUUUUUUUGAAAAAUAAACUACACGAAAAAUAAAGAGAGGAAAGUCCGGGCUCCACAGGGCGAUGGUGCCAGAUAACAUCUGGGAAGUGUAAACUUACGACAAGUGCAACAGAAAAUAAACCGCCAAAAUAUUAUUUUAAUAAAAUAAUUACAGGUAAGGGUGAAAAGGCGUGGUAAAAGCACACCGUACUUCUGGAAACAGAACGUAGCAAUGUAAACUCCACCUGGAGCAAGGCUAAAUCAGGAACAAUAUUUUAAAGUCCAAAUCAAUAUCCUAGGUAAGCCGCUGGAAUUAAUAUGCGAAUAUUAAUCUUAGAUUAAUGACUGUCCUUGACAGAACCCGGCUUAACAGCUAACUCUAAAA
RNAcentral lists this RNase P RNA (387 nucleotides) under Candidatus Westeberhardia cardiocondylae. Its description in RNAcentral is "Bacterial RNase P class A". It matches the Rfam family "Bacterial RNase P class A". From Rfam's summary of the family: Ribonuclease P (RNase P) is a ubiquitous endoribonuclease, found in archaea, bacteria and eukarya as well as chloroplasts and mitochondria. Its best characterised activity is the generation of mature 5'-ends of tRNAs by cleaving the 5'-leader elements of precursor-tRNAs. Lineage: Bacteria; Pseudomonadati; Pseudomonadota; Gammaproteobacteria; Enterobacterales; Enterobacteriaceae. The record is from RNAcentral.